AGAGCGUAUGGCGGAUGCCUAGGCACAGAGAGGCGAAGAAGGACGCAGCAAACAGCGAAAUGCGACGGUUAGCAGUAAGCAUGCAACGAUCCGUCGAUGUCCGAAUGGGGGAACCCACCUGGAGUAGAGACCAGGUAUCCUGAAGUGAAUAAAUAGCUUCAGAGAGGCGAGACUCAGGGAACUGAAACAUCUAAGUACCUGAAGGAAGAGAAAAUAAACGAAUGAUUCCCUAAGUAGCGGCGAGCGAAAGGGGAAGAGCCCAAACCGAUCUUAGGAUCGGGGUUGUAGGACUGUCGGCAAAGAGCAAGAAAUCAUUAUAGGCGAACGGAAUGGGAAGUCCGGCGAAACAGGGUGACAGCCCCGUAGCCGAAAUAGUGAAGAAGCACGAGACAGCACCUGAGUACGGCGGGACACGAGGAAUCCUGUCGGAAUCCACCAGGACCAUCUGGUAAGGCUAAAUACUCCUCUGUGACCGAUAGUGAACCAGUACCGUGAGGGAAAGGUGAAAAGAACCCCGGGAGGGGAGUGAAAUAGAACCUGAAACCGUGUGCCUACAACCGGUCAAAGCCCCAUAUGAGGGUGAUGACGUGCUUUUUGUAGAACGAGCCAACGAGUUACGGUAUGUAGCAAGGUUAAGUACUUAAGGUACGGAGCCGAAGGGAAACCGAGUCUUAAUAGGGCGACUAGUUGCAUGCCGUAGACCCGAAACCGGGUGACCUAUCCAUGGCCAGGUUGAAGCGAGGGUAAAACCUCGUGGAGGACCGAACCACGUUGCUGUUGAAAAAGCAUGGGAUGAGCUGUGGAUAGCGGAGAAAUUCCAAUCGAACUCGGAGAUAGCUGGUUCUCCCCGAAAUAGCUUUAGGGCUAGCGUCGAGGUAAAGUCGUGUGAAGGUAGAGCACUGAAUAUGUGAUGGCCCCAUCUCGGGGUACUGAACAUAAUCAAACUCCGAAUGUCACAAAGAUAUACUCGGCAGUCAGACAGUGGGUGAUAAGGUCCAUUGUCAAAAGGGAAACAGCCCAGACCAUCAGCUAAGGUCCCAAAAUAUAUACUAAGUGGAAAAGGAUGUGGAGAUGUCCAGACAACUAGGAGGUUGGCUCAGAAGCAGCCAUCCUUUAAAGAGUGCGUAACAGCUCACUAGUCGAAUGACUCUGCGCCGAUAAUUUACCGGGGCUAAGUAUAUUACCGAAGCUAUGGAUUUACGCGUAAGCGUGAGUGGUAGGGGAGCGUUCUAUGUGCGGAGAAGCGGUACCGUAAGGAGCCGUGGAGCGCAUAGAAGAGAGAAUGCCGGUGUGAGUAGCGAAACGUGGGUGAGAAUCCCACGCACCGAAAACCCAAGGUUUCCAGAGGAAGGUUCGUCCGCUCUGGGUAAGUCGGGACCUAAGGCGAGGCCGAGAGGCGUAGUCGAUGGACAACAGGUAGAGAUUCCUGUACUUACGGUAUGAAUGAUGGAGUGACGGAGAAGGCUAGCGGAUCCUGCUGAUGGAAAUGCAGGUGCAAGCGAGGUAGCCGACAGCCAGGCAAAUCCGGCUGUCGAAAGGCAAAGGCGUGAGGCGUAUGGAAAGCUGCGGCAAGUACAGAAGUCCGUGAAGCCAGCUUCCAAGAAAAGCUUCUAGUGAUAAUCAUACAGUAACCCGUACCGAAAAUGGACACACAUGGGUGAGGAGAGAAUCCUAAGGUGAGCGAGAGAACUAUAGCUAAGGAACUCUGCAAAAUGACUCCGUAACUUAGGGAUAAGGAGUGCUCAUAGAGAUAUGAGCCGCAGUGAAACGGCCCAAGCGACUGUUUACCAAAAACACAGCUCUAUGCUAAGUCGAAAGACGACGUAUAUGGGGUGACGCCUGCCCGGUGCUGGAAGGUUAAGAGGAUGUGUCAGCGCAAGCGAAGCAUUGAAUUGAAGCCCCAGUAAACGGCGGCCGUAACUAUAACGGUCCUAAGGUAGCGAAAUUCCUUGUCAGGUAAGUUCUGACCCGCACGAAAGGCGUAACGAUUUGGGCGCUGUCUCAGCUGUAGACUCGGUGAAGUCUUAGUACCUGUGAAGAUGCAGGUUACCCGCGACUAGACGGAAAGACCCCAUGGAGCUUUACUGUAGCUUGAUAUUGGACUUUGAUGCAAGAUGUACAGGAUAGGUAGGAGACUGAGAGACAUGCACGCCAGUGUGUGAGGAGUCAAUGUUGGGAUACUACUCUUCUUGUAUUGGAGUUCUAACCGGAUGCCAUGGAACUGGCAACGGGACAGUGUCAGGUGGGCAGUUUGACUGGGGCGGUCGCCUCCCAAAGAGUAACGGAGGCGCCCAAAGAUACCCUCAGCUUGGAUGGAAAUCAAGCGCAGAGUGCAAAGGCAUAAGGGUGUUUGACUGCGAGACCUACAAGUCGAGCAGGGACGAAAGUCGGGCUUAGUGAUCCGGCGGUGCUGAAUGGAAAGGCCGUCGCUCAACGGAUAAAAGCUACCCUGGGGAUAACAGGCUGAUCUCCCCCAAGAGUCCACAUCGACGGGGAGGUUUGGCACCUCGAUGUCGGCUCAUCGCAUCCUGGGGCUGAAGUCGGUUCCAAGGGUUGGGCUGUUCGCCCAUUAAAGCGGUACGCGAGCUGGGUUCAGAACGUCGUGAGACAGUUCGGUCCCUAUCUGUCGUGGGCGUAGGAAGUUUGAGAAGAUCUGUCCUCAGUACGAGAGGACCGGGAUGGACAUAUCAAUGGUGCACCAGUUGUCACGCCAGUGGCACAGCUGGGUAGCUAAAUAUGGAAGGGAUAAACGCUGAAGGCAUCUAAGUGUGAAACCCACUUCAAGAUGAGACUUCCCAUUACGCAAGUAAGUAAGACCCCUUAAAGACGAUAAGGUUGA
Molecule: ribosomal RNA, 2839 nt
Filed under: human gut metagenome
Description: bacterial LSU rRNA
Rfam family: Bacterial large subunit ribosomal RNA
Source: RNAcentral